UACGUAGGGUGCGAGCGUUAAUCGGAAUUACUGGGCGUAAAGCGUGCGCAGGCGGUCUGUUAAGACCGAUGUGAAAUCCCCGGGCUUAACCUGGGAGCUGCAUUGGUGACUGGCAGGCUUUGAGUGUGGCAGAGGGAGGUAGAAUUCCACGUGUAGCAGUGAAAUGCGUAGAGAUGUGGAGGAAUACCGAUGGCGAAGGCAGCCUCCUGGGCCAACACUGACGCUCAUGCACGAAAGCGUGGGGAGCAAACAGG
RNAcentral lists this ribosomal RNA (254 nucleotides) under uncultured bacterium. Its description in RNAcentral is "partial 16S ribosomal RNA". It matches the Rfam family "Bacterial small subunit ribosomal RNA", at positions 524 to 776 of the family's 1533-position model. The record is from RNAcentral.